GACGAACGCUGGCGGCGUGCUUAACACAUGCAAGUCGAACGGUGAAGCGCCUUCCUUUUUGGUGAGUGUGGAUGAGUGGCGAACGGGUGAGUAACACGUGAGUAACCUGCCCCCUUCUUCUGGAUAACCGCAUGAAAGUGUGGCUAAUACGGGAUAUUCUGGGUCUGUCGCAUGAUGGGUCUGGGAAAGAUAUUGUUUCGGUGGGGGAUGGGCUCGCGGCCUAUCAGCUUGUUGGUGGGGUGAUGGCCUACCAAGGCGGUGACGGGUAGCCGGCCUGAGAGGGUGGACGGUCACACUGGGACUGAGACACGGCCCCGACUCCUACGGGAGGCAGCAGUGGGGAAUAUUGCACAAUGGGCGCAAGCCUGAUGCAGCGACGCCGCGUGAGGGAUGGAGGCCUUCGGGUUGUGAACCUCUUUCGCCAGUGAAGCAGGCCUGCCUCGUUUGUGGGUGGGUUGACGGUAGCUGGAUAAGAAGCGCCGGCUAACUACGUG
This 494-nucleotide ribosomal RNA is filed under the name uncultured bacterium. Its description in RNAcentral is "partial 16S ribosomal RNA". It matches the Rfam family "Bacterial small subunit ribosomal RNA", at positions 28 to 507 of the family's 1533-position model. The record is from RNAcentral.